RNAcentral lists this small nucleolar RNA (53 nucleotides) under Gallus gallus (chicken). Its description in RNAcentral is "U24 SnoRNA". It matches the Rfam family "Small nucleolar RNA SNORD24", at positions 1 to 54 of the family's 76-position model. Rfam says of the family: U24 is a member of the C/D class of snoRNA which contain the C (UGAUGA) and D (CUGA) box motifs. C/D box snoRNAs have been shown to act as methylation guides for a number of RNA targets. The record is from RNAcentral. Lineage: Eukaryota; Metazoa; Chordata; Aves; Galliformes; Phasianidae.
UGCAGAUGAUGUAAAAAAAUACUUGCUAUCUGAAUGGUAGUGCUGACAUACAU